Molecule: ribosomal RNA, 117 nt
Organism: Lepisosteus oculatus (spotted gar)
Lineage: Eukaryota; Metazoa; Chordata; Actinopteri; Semionotiformes; Lepisosteidae
Source: Ensembl
GCCAGCAGCCAUAUCACCCUGCAGGCCUCAACAAGCUACUCACUGAAGCUAAGCAGGGUUGAACCUGGUCAGUACCUGGAUGGGAGACCACCUGGGAAGCUUUGGUUGCUGCUGGAA